AUGGAAAGAACCCAGAUGCCCUUCAACAGAGGAAUGGAUACAGAAAAUGUGGUACAUCUACACAAUGGAAUAUUUCUCAGCUAUCAAAAACAACAGCUUUAUGAAAUUCGUAGGCAAAUGGUUGGAACUGGAAAAUAUCAUCCUGAGUGAGCUAACCCAAUCACAGAAAGACAUACAUGAUAUGCACUCACUGAUAAGUGGCUAUUAGCCCAAAUGCUUGAAUUACCCUAGAUGCCUAGAACAAAUGAAACUCAGGACGGAUGAUCAAAAUGUGAAUGCUUCACUCCUUCUCUAAAAGGGGAACAAGAAUACCCUUGGCAGGGAAGAGAGAGGCAAAGAUUAAAACAGAGACUGAAGGAACUCCCAUUCAGAGCCUGCCCCACAUGUGGCCCAUACAUAUACAGCCACCCAAUUAGACAAGAUGGAUGAAGCAAAGAAGUGCAGGCCGACAGGAGCCGGAUGUAGAUCUCUCCUGAGAGACACAGCCAGAAUACAGCAAAUACAGAGGCGAAUGCCAGCAGCAAACCACUGAACUGAGAAUAGGACCCCCGUUGAAGGAAUCAGAGAAAGAACUGGAGGAGCUUGAAGGGGCUC
This 594-nucleotide long non-coding RNA is filed under the name Rattus norvegicus (Norway rat). RNAcentral's name for it is "long non-coding RNA NONRATT023084". The record is from RNAcentral. Lineage: Eukaryota; Metazoa; Chordata; Mammalia; Rodentia; Muridae.